Molecule: long non-coding RNA, 3451 nt
Filed under: Equus asinus (donkey)
Lineage: Eukaryota; Metazoa; Chordata; Mammalia; Perissodactyla; Equidae
Description: lncRNA (ENSEASG00005030175.1)
Source: RNAcentral
AAAUUUAUAAAAACUAAAUUAAAACAUGCAUAGAUUUUUUUUAACUGCCAAAUGGUCAAAACCUUAAAUUGUUUUUAAAUCUGAAAGACUUAAGGACCUUAGGGAAAAAGCCACUCCUAAAACAUAACACUAUUAUUGUAACAGAAGCAGAAAGCAGCUUAACAGACGACAUUAAAGAAAAAACAUUAAAUAACCAUUUAGAACAGUAAACACUGUUAAAAGCUAGAGUUGUAUUCCAAUUUUAAAAGGAAGUAUAACCACUUAAGUGGAUGGUAAUGUUCAAAACUAUUUAAUGUUCUUAUGGAAAUGAUGUUAUUAUCACGUUAACACAAUUUACAAAGCACUGUGAACGAACAUGCGAACAGUUUGAAUUUAGAAUCACAUGUGAUCGUGUUAAUGUCAUUCACCAAGGACAGUCCUCAGGUGUCUAAAAAUAUCUACACUAAAGGUCUGGACAGAGGAAGCAGGGGGACACUUUGUUUCUUAUGAAGAGAGUCACAAUACAGCAAGCGCACUCACAUUAUAGCUACGAUUACACUAGUUACAAUUUUUAACCUUACAGAAUAAAGCUAUAGUAUGUGAAAUUACAAUAUAUUUAUCUUCUUUAAAACCAUUUUUAAAGAAGGGCAGAGCUGUCAUUUUUUUAGAAGUCAAAAACCAGCAGAAAAAUGUAACUGAUAAAUGCAGUCUUUAAAAUAUUUUGUGGCUAAUUAUACGCUAAUUUUCAAAAUACAACAGAAUUUUGGUCCAUGAGGCCCUUAAAAAACAAAAGGAUUUCCAUUUAUCAAUAGAAAUACAAAGUUCAUGAAAAAAUUUCAACACUUAUUAAAACAUCAUUCUACAGAAUGCUUUUUUUUUUGUGGUUGAACACAAGAAAUAUCUCUGAUAAAUAAUGGGUGUGACCAGGUAAAAAACAUACUUUAAUAGACUGUCUCACAAUCUUCUUUUGAAGACCAUCACUAACAGAUUUUCUUUGAAUGUCAACUGAAAUACAAUUAUUAUGUCUUAUAUUAACGUAUAUCAGGAUUUACUGCUUACUACGCCUGCUUUUCUCCCUCUAGGACAGGGAGCAGCAAACUAUGGCCCACAGGCCCAAUCUGGCCUGCUGCCUGUUUCUGUAAGUCAAGUUUGAUUGGCAUGCAGUCACACCCACUCAUUUGCAUAUUGCCUGGGGCUGCUUUCAUGCUGUAAGGGCAGAGGUCACCCAGGAAUUCUCCAGGAGUUGGAUAAUACAAUAGACGAGCCAUACACUAACAGAAUGGCUGGAAAGUUGUACAUCUUAUUUUAUCUUGAAAAAGCAAGUUGGAUAGCAAAAAAAAAAAAAAACAAAUAUACCUUAUGGUAAGUGCCAUUAAAUCAGGGGAAAAACAGCUCGAGAGAGUCCGCAAAACGCACACGCACACAACACAUGCGCACACACACACACACACCCCCCCCAGAGCCACCCUCCCACCUAUCACAAACUAACAGCUACAGUAUAAUCAAAGAAUAUUUGUUUUAUAAAUAUAUUACUGUCUAUAUACAUAUAGAUACAUCCAUAAAAGACAUGUUAAAUAAUUAUCUGUAUAAGCACUACUACUUUAAGUUUUUUUUUGUGUUUUAAAAUUACACAAUCGAUUAAAAUUAUCAAAAUAAUUCUUUAAAAAUACCAGGAAUAAAACCAGUGAAGAGUUGCUUUCCAUUUAAGUGGUUCUAGAUCUUUUCAUUGGUCAUCCAGACUCCAGACUUGGUCCUCCGCAACUCAAGGAAACAGUUCAAUGAAGGAAAAGUUAGCCAUCAAAAGCAUACACUCUCCUAUUUUUAAUACUUCAUAACAAAUAUGUAUGCAUGUAGAUAUAUAUAAAAAUGCUCUUUUUAAUUAUAUUACAUAUUCUCAUAAAUGAAUUUUCAUAAAAACACAAAGUUCAAGUUUCUAACAGUAUCAAAUAUUUUAUACUGGUGUGCAUUUCUUUCAAAUGUUUAGGUCAAUGACAAACUCCAUUAGGAUAGAGAGAUCAUAAAAAAGAGACUGAAAAUUUACGUACCACAUGCAAGAAAGGAGGAAAUACUAAGGGCCAGUAUUUGGCCAGCUGGGUACUAUUCCCUCUGUACCAAGACACAGAGACAACGAACUGGCUGAUUAUCGUGUCAAGUACAGCCCUCUGUCAAUUUUCAGGGGCACAAUGUUCCGAUCUGAAUCCUUUCCUUCUAUCAGUUGACCACUGUCGGCAGUUUCACUACUUACUAACACACCUCUCUCCAGCUACUUAUUAGCAAGUCUGGUAAAAGAUAUGAUCAAGGUGAAAGUUUUGACUAAAAUGAAGGUUUGGGAUCAGCUAUGGAUUUAAUUUAAUAAUGGAUCCAUUUACUUAUUGCUUUAGAUAAUUAAGAACUUGCUGUGUCAAAAGUCUGCCAAAUAUCUCAUUCUUAAGCUCUGAAAGCAACAUCAGUGCUUCGAAAGAAAACGAGGGACAAACUGUCCUCUUGACAUAAGAAAACUGCUAUUUCUUAACUCGCUACUAAUUAGACCGGAGCGUUUGCACGUGGAUAGUUCAGAGCUGCUGACUUUGGGACAGGUGGCGACAAGCUAUGCUAUUUUUCCAGUCCAAAAUCCACGAAGCAAUGACAAAUAGUUAGCUAAAAACGUUAGGAGGCCAGAUUAGAGGUGUGAUAUACAUUUCACCUAAGAUCUCCUUUAAAUAAACUUAGUUUGGCAGAAUCUUCAAAUAAUUAAAAUGUUGAAAUAAAAAAACGAAGCAAAACUUACAAGUACAAUUUAAGAAGGAUUUCAUACUAACAAAAAAAGGCUUAUAAUGCGACUAACAUAGAAGGUCCUAGGCAUUUGUAACCCGAAUUUUGGCACUGGUUUAGCCUCUACGUUUAAACUUGUUCUACAGAGAGUGACUGACGACAUCAGGAGAACAAUUUCACGAGUGGGUAGGGCUCUCAGACAGAUGCCACUCAGAACGGUGUGUGUGGCACCAUCUGAAUUAUUUCUGGGUAGAGACGAGUGCCACACUCACCUCAAAAACAACAGCAAUAAUUGUGUAGAACACCACUUUCCUGAAUUAAGUUUGCUGAACACGGUUCAGAUUAUUGGAUAUGUCAAUAUGCACAAUGCCUUUUAGAAGCAUUUACUGUAUACCCAAAUGCUACUUCAUGCGACACACAGUGUCACACAAGUAGUGAAAAUGUUAUCCUAGUCAAAGGUGCUUGGACAUUAUUUUCAGGCAGCAUUUUACCUUUAUUUUAAGUUAAGUUCACACUAGAUAAGUUUUAGGAGAAAGAAAAUGCCAAUAAAUUUAUUUAAUAUAUUUUAAUAUAUUAUAUAAAACUAAGACAGACACUUUUAUUUACCUAAAUUGUUACUUUUAUUUUCUACGCUAUUCUAGACUUCAAUUUUACUUAAAAAAAUUUGUAUUUAAAUAAGGGAUAAAAUGUUGCCCAAAAGUCUAAUCAUAGUUACACACUU